RNAcentral lists this ribosomal RNA (229 nucleotides) under uncultured bacterium. Its description in RNAcentral is "partial 16S ribosomal RNA". It matches the Rfam family "Bacterial small subunit ribosomal RNA", at positions 568 to 796 of the family's 1533-position model. The record is from RNAcentral.
CGUGUAGGCGGAUCGAGAAGUCGGGUGUGAAAGCCCUGGGCUCAACCCAGGAAGUGCGCCCGAAACCAUCGAUCUUGAGUUUCGGAAGGGAGCGGGGAAUUCCCAGUGUAGAGGUGAAAUUCGUAGAUAUUGGGAGGAACACCGGCGCCGAAGGGGCCGCUCUGGACGAAUACUGACGCUGAUGCGCGAAAGCGUGGGGAGCAAACAGGAUUAGAUACCCUGGUAGUCC